GAUGAACGCUGGCGGUGUGUCUAAUACAUGCAAGUCGAGCGAAUAAACGAGGAGCUUUCCCCUUUGACGAUAGCGGCCGACGGGUGAGUAACACGUGGAUAACCUAUCUAUAAGACUGGGAUAAUCUCGGGAAUCUGGAGCUAAUAUCGGAUAACAAGACUAACGGCAUGGGUCAGCAAUGUAAUAGGGACCUACUUUCCCUUCUUCAUGGAUCCGCGCCUAAUUAGCCAGUCGGUAAGGUAACGGCUUAUCAAGGUAACGAUUCGUAGCCGACCUGAGAGGGUGAUCGGCCACACUCGGACUGUGACACGGUCCAGACUCCUACGCGAGGAAGGAGUAGGGAAUCUGCCGCAAUGGGCGCAGGCCUGACAGAGCAACGCCGCGUGAGUGAAGAAGGUCUUCGGAUCAUAGAACUCUGUUGUUAGCGAGGAACAAAUGUGUAAGUGACUAUGCACGUCUUGACGGUACCUAAUCAGAUAGCCACGGCUAACUACGUG
RNAcentral lists this ribosomal RNA (497 nucleotides) under uncultured bacterium. RNAcentral's name for it is "partial 16S ribosomal RNA". It matches the Rfam family "Bacterial small subunit ribosomal RNA", at positions 28 to 507 of the family's 1533-position model. The record is from RNAcentral.